CAAUAAUAGUGCAUCGACUAUCCAGUGUUACAACUGCAAAAACUGGGGGUCAUUUUUCAAAAGAUUGUCCACAGAGGUGCAAUAGGCUAAGUAGUAAUAUGCAUCGUAAUAAAACAUACCAAUCUAGAUGAAAUCAGGGAAACUAAGUGAGAGGGCAAGGCAGGAGUCUUGUUCCUCUACUACCGAAAAAACCUCCUUUAUUGGAUUAUCAGUUACAAGUAAGACUAAUUUGCCAUUUAUUUCUAUCUUUAUUAAUAAUAUUAUUGUGAAUGCCUGCAUAGAUACUGGAGCCGAUGACACCGCCAUUAGUGAAACGUUAUGGAGAAAAAUUACUAAGA
RNAcentral lists this long non-coding RNA (338 nucleotides) under Androctonus crassicauda. The record is from RNAcentral. Lineage: Eukaryota; Metazoa; Arthropoda; Arachnida; Scorpiones; Buthidae.